This 494-nucleotide ribosomal RNA is filed under the name uncultured bacterium. RNAcentral describes it as "partial 16S ribosomal RNA". It matches the Rfam family "Bacterial small subunit ribosomal RNA", at positions 28 to 507 of the family's 1533-position model. The record is from RNAcentral.
GACGAACGCUGGCGGCGUGCUUAACACAUGCAAGUCGAACGGAAAGGCCUGCUUUCCCUUGUGGAUUGCGGGUACUCUAGUGGCCAACGGGUGAGUAACACGUGAUUGAUCUGCCCCCAACUUGUGUAUAAGCCUGGGAUACUCGGUCUAAUUCCCGAUAGUACUGCAGGGUGGUGCCUGUCGUGGAAAACGAUUUUCUAGUGUUUGGGGAUGAGCUCGCGGCCUAUCAGCUUGUUGGUGGGGUAAUGGCCUACCACGGCGGCGACGGGUAGCCGGCGUGAGAGGGUGGACGGCGACAUUGAGACUGGGAUACGGCCCAGACUGCUACGGGAGGCAGCAGUGGGGAAUAUUGGACCAUGAGCGGAAGCCUGAUGCAGCGAGGCGGUGUGGGGGAUGAUGGGGUUGGGGUUGUAAACUGCUGUGGAACAAGAGGAAGAGACCUGGUUGGAAGGGUGGUGACGGUAGUGGUAGAAGAAGCACCGGCUAACUACGUG